GACGUAGGGCGCGAGCGUUGUCCGGAUUUAUUGGGCGUAAAGAGCUCGUAGGCGGCUUGUCGCGUCGUCUGUGAAAUCCCGCGGCUCAACUGCGGGCUGGCAGUCGAUACGGGCAGGCUGGAGUUCGGUAGGGGAGACUGGAAUUCCUGGUGUAGCGGUGAAAUGCGCAGAUAUCAGGAGGAACACCGGUGGCGAAGGCGGAUCUCUGGGCCUUACCUGACGCUGAGGCGCGAAAGCUAGGGGAGCGAACAGG
This 253-nucleotide ribosomal RNA is filed under the name uncultured bacterium. RNAcentral describes it as "partial 16S ribosomal RNA". It matches the Rfam family "Bacterial small subunit ribosomal RNA", at positions 524 to 776 of the family's 1533-position model. The record is from RNAcentral.